RNAcentral lists this long non-coding RNA (4197 nucleotides) under Pan troglodytes (chimpanzee). RNAcentral describes it as "lincRNA". The record is from RNAcentral. Lineage: Eukaryota; Metazoa; Chordata; Mammalia; Primates; Hominidae.
GUUGGUACUCCUGGUUCUCAGGGAUUCAGACUCUGACUGGCGUCCACUCCAUUGGAUCCCGGCCCUCAGGUCUUGCAACUUGCACUGCCAGCAUUCCUGGGUGUCCGGCUUGCGGACAGCAGAUCGUGGGACUUCUCAGCCUCCAGAAUUGCACGAAGUGUCUCCUUACGAAUCUCUUCCUAUGUACGUGUAUCCUACUGGCUCUGUUUCUCUGCAGAACCCUGACUAAUAGAAACCCUCUCAUCUCACAGCAGUGCAUGUACAAACCCACUCACAUCUUCGCCUCCCCUGCCUUCCCUACCGCAAGUUCCCUCCGACCAGAGGCCAAUCCCGCUGCGGUGCCCCGGACCCACCCUCUGCACCAGCCUUCCUUCUUGUUUUCUAAAAGCUCGCGUUUUCUGUGGGCUUCCAAGGCUGCUCUUCAGUAUCUUUACGUCAGAGCCUCCCAGCUCCUUCCCCUCUCUCAAAAGCGUUUUCACAGGGACUGUAGGCUCCUUCCCUCCCCUUGAUAACCAAGUACUAUGCCCCAGGUUCUUACCUCACAGCCCAAAGUUGUCCUAAGUCAGGCCCUGACCUGAGUGUCUCCAAAUCCAGCAGGCCGUCUGCUCUCCUGUGACAUGCAGCAUCCCACGGCUUUUCCUAAAACACCCCCUCUGUCAGCUUUGCUGUCACCCACCCUCCAGGGCUCUCUCUUAUAGGUCUGCCCUUUGCUAGCAUCUUAGCCUCUCCACCUCCCGGUGGUCCUGUCUGCGAUGGACCCCCUCCAUGUGUCCCAAGGCCCUCCAAAGGAACAGGUCUGUAUCAGGUGCAAUUAGAUUGAGUUGCAAUGCAAGGGCUUGAAUUGCAGAGAGGUUCAUUUUUCUUUUUGUAGAAAAGUCUGGGACCAGCUGUCAGAGACUGAUUUGGCCACUCCAUGGUCACCAGGACCAGGCUGUGUCCAUCUUUUCUGUUCUGACCUUUUUCACAUGGGCCAUUGUCCAUGUCACCGCUGGUCACCAGCUGCAGCAGUCGCAUUCUUGCUCCAGGCAGCAGGAAGAAGGUGAGACCAGAAGGCAAAGGGGGCUGGUCCUGCCUGGUCAGCCCCCAGGGGGCUUUGCCCAGACACCCCUUCCCCACCCAUGGCUCUGCUGAUUUCUCUAUAGCUACCACCCUCUGAAAAGGGAGCUGGCAGAGUAGUUCUUAGACAUGGCACCUGGCCACCUCUGUGGCUAAAGAAGAAGGAGGUUGAGGAUUGGGGUACACACCUGACAGUCUCCAUGCAAUGCCCCAAAGUGGACCACUGACCCCACACCACGCUGUUCUCCUCUGAGUUUUCUCACCUCUGUCCAAAUGGCUGCAGAAGCCAAAAGCCCCAGAGCCCAGCUCCCCUUCCCUCCUUUCUCCCCCAUCCCAUCUUCCAUCCUUCCAUCCUUCCAUGAGCCUGCCCCUCAUCCUCCUCAGGGCUGGAACUGGCUGCCGGAUUCCUCCCUGGCUCCGUGGGGGCUGGCUCAGCAAUCUGAGCUGCCGAUGGCUCUGUGGGCCGGCUGGGAGGAUUCAUGCCCCAUUGGGGCUGAGAGGAAUGAGGUGAGGGCUAUGGGGUUUGCCCAGAAUCUCCUGAAAUAUCGGGUCCAGGAACCACAGCAGGACUCUCAUUCCGCCUUCUGGCCACUGUUGGGGUUGACACUGGCAGGAUCCAGGGGCUCUGGAAAGCUCCAGGGGAAAUUUGAGGCAUAACCCAGCUUCUCUGAGACGGAACUCAGGGAGGAUCCAGCUCAAUCCUACAGAGGCGACCCCAAGGAAGGACCUGCCCAGGGUCACUUGGAGAGCUGGGCGGGAGGAGGGAGAAACCUCCCAGGUCCAGAGUGACAAAGCCCCCCUUGCCCCAGGGAUGGCUGAGAUCCAAAACCUCAAAAACACGCCGCCGUCUGGAGGGUGUGAGAGCCAGGUCCGUCCUCAGCAUGGACGCUGCAGUGCACACUGUUCCGUGCCAGGUGCUGGCUGACCCUGCCCUGGGGGAGCUGAUGGACAGGCACAGAGGGGGAGCCCCGCAAACAAGGGGCCCUGUUACAGCAGAGUGGGAGAGCGCCUGAUAGGUCGCCAAGCACCGUGGCCGGGCUGCAGAGAGGCCUGCGGGGCUUGUAGACAAGACGUCAUGGAGAAGGCGGAGCUCCCAUGGGCCUUGCAGGUUUCACUAAGCAAGGGCGGAGAAGACACAGGCUGGACAAAGGAAGGUGGACGGGACAGCCAGCCGUGCAGCAGCCUCACGGGACACAGCUACCAGACAGAGAGCACCAGCUGACACUCAUUCCUCCAGCACCAGGAAAUGCCACAGCAGAAGAGGGUCUUCAAGAUGGGCCAGCCCCACUUCUGCAGCAUGGUUGCUGGGAGCCUGCACAGGCCAGGUGUUUCUCUACAGGUGCAAUUGAGAACUCACUGAGGCAAAAAGGGCCUUUGUCAACCCACAGAACUGACAAGUCCAAGUGCAGACCAGGCUUCAGGUCCAAUUGCUCUUCAGAACUCAAAAUCCCAUCUCUGCAGGUCUCAGCCAAUCCUGCUCCUGCCUGUUUUUAUUUCCUGCCCAGAGCAAGUACAGAACCGGGGGCCAUCGAUGGGCGAGAAAUCACUGUGCCUCCAAGCCGUAUUUUUCACCGUAACAAGUCAUUACUUCUGUGCCCGGAGUCAUUUCUCAGGAUCUUAAUGCAUUCGUUUAUCAAUCAAUACUUAAUUGAUGUCUAUAAAGCAUGUUCAAAAUCAGAGGUGAGAGCAGCUCACCAGGUACCGACUUCGUGUCUGGAGCCACCUUGUUAAGGAGCAACCCUUGGCACGGGUGCCGUGUCUGCACCCUCGGGAGCUCUGGGUGGGUGCACUGGGGUCCUCACAGCCCUUCCCGCCACUGCAGAUGGAAAUCUCUACCUGGCAGAGGGGCUCAGUCGUGCCCACCCGGGAGUCUGGGGCCUACCGGCAGCAGAAGGUGCAGUGGCCAAACGCGGAGACAUUUCUAUCAUCAGACAUGGUCCCCAGCCCGACUCUGCUGCCCACUUACCCCUGGCCAGGGCGAGUUCAUCGACUGUGCCAAGCCUGGCUGCUUCUCCAGCCUAACAGGAGUCCCUGUCUCGACAGGACUGAGUGGGGUGAAUGCAGCCAAGUGCUCAGCAGAGACUGUCCCACCGGGAAGUGUUCGCAAAUAUGGGCUGUUGAACCUCCUGUUGUUAGAUCUAGAUCCAGUUCUGCGACCACGUUCAUGACUUAGAUCAUAACUGAAGUGGGCCAGCCGAGGCCGGGCCGUUUAGGGGUUUGGCUGCUAAUUCAAGAAGGACACCUGGGUUUGGAUCCCAGAGUUGCCUCCAGACCCAGAUGUGGCCUCAGGCAGGUGAUGAGCCUGCAGAUGCGGUUUCAUUUUCUGCAGGGUGGUCAAAGGAGAUCUCAGGCUUGUAGGAGACAAAGCACAUCGCCCCGAAGAGCUCAGGAGGCACAGAUUACAGCCACCCUCCUUAUCCACCCCGUCUCCCAUCACAGCCCUCAUGAGUGCUCAAGCAAGGCUCAGGGCCUGAUGGACGUGGCUGCCUCCUCCUAGAGGACAGGCAUCUCUCGGCUGCCUGCACCAGCCAGCGGCCCUUCUCCCCAGCCAGGAGAUCCUCCAAGGAAGGCCAAGGGCCGAGGAGCUGCUGGAGCAGAUGACCACAAACUCAGUGACUGCAGAGUGCACGCGCUCAUCACCUUACAGUUCUGUAGGCUGGGAUCCCACUGGGCUAAGACCAAGGUGUUGGGAGGCUGCGUUUCUUGCUGGAUGCUGUAAGAGAGAGGUCGUUUCCUCGUGUUUUUUUAACUUCCUUGGCCCACGGACCUUCCUCCACCUUCAAAGCCAGCAGCCUCGCGUCUUCUGACCUUCCAUUGUCACAUCGUCAUCUGACCCACAUAAGGACCCGUGUGAUUAGGGUGGGCGCACCCGGGUAAUCUUCCCAUCUCAAAGUCCUUGACUGAAUCACAUCUGCAAAGUCCCCUUUGCUAUGUAAGGUCACAUGUUCACAAGAUCCAGGGAUUAGGACUUGGACAUUUUUGGAAGCCCAUUGUCCUGCCAACAGCACAAGACCUCCAGGUGAUCCUGAUGUGUAACGCACAGUGAGAGACAAAUGCUCUGAUGGACCAUCAACAGCAGAACAGACAUAAAUGGAAGAAAAUGUACAUAAAAGAGAGUCCACUUAAACAUGUGAUCCUCUC